RNAcentral lists this long non-coding RNA (447 nucleotides) under Phoenix dactylifera (date palm). Its description in RNAcentral is "long non-coding RNA (PDAC_LNC000529)". Lineage: Eukaryota; Viridiplantae; Streptophyta; Magnoliopsida; Arecales; Arecaceae. The record is from RNAcentral.
GAGGGUGAGACUUGUUCCUAGGACUAGAUAGAUGGAGACUUGGAAUUAGUCUUUGCCACAAUUUAGGCCUAAAUUUGACACAUUAACUUGGCAUGCCCUGGGAUGUCGAGUGACUUUCCUUAUUAGAUCAAGGUUGGUUGAAAACUUUAAGAGAUUUGAUCACAUUCUUGUAAUAUCUAGGUAAGAAUUCCAAUCUGCUUCAGUUUAAAUAUUUGUGAUUCAUUUUCAGCCUAAUUAGGGUUUAGGUUUUCUUUAUGACAUCGGCAUCCAACAAGGCAUAAAUUUUGGGCAUAGAUUUGGACUAGUUGAGAUAAGCUUUUGUUGGACAUCUAUUUGACCUACUUUCUCGUAUACUUGUAACCUUCAUAUAUUUUUACUGUGCAUUGAUUUUAGUUCUAAGAUCAAACUCAACAUUGACCUAGUUAAGAUAGCCCCUCUCAAUUUUUU